RNAcentral lists this ribosomal RNA (403 nucleotides) under uncultured Candidatus Saccharibacteria bacterium. RNAcentral's name for it is "bacterial SSU rRNA". It matches the Rfam family "Bacterial small subunit ribosomal RNA", at positions 355 to 774 of the family's 1533-position model. The record is from RNAcentral. Lineage: Bacteria; Candidatus Saccharimonadota.
UGAGGAAUCUUCCACAAUGGGCGAAAGCCUGAUGGAGCAACGCCGCGUGCAGGAUGAAGGCCUUCGGGUCGUAAACUGCUUUUAUAAGUGAAGAAUCUGACUGUAACUUAUGAAUAAGGAUCGGCUAACUACGUGCCAGCAGCCGCGGUCAUACGUAGGAUCCGAGCGUUAUCCGGAGUGACUGGGCGUAAAGAGUUGCGUAGGUGGUUUAUUAAGUAAAUGAUGAAAGCUGGUGGCUUAACCAUUCAGUUGUCAUUUAAACUGAUAAACUUGAGAAUAGUAGGGGUAACUGGAAUUUCUUGUGUAGGAGUGAAAUCCGUAGAUAUAAGAAGGAACACCGAUGGCGUAGGCAGGUUACUGGGCUAUUUCUGACACUGAGGCACGAAAGCGUGGGGAGCGAACG